CCUACGGGAGGCAGCAGUGGGGAAUAUUGCGCAAUGGGGGAAACCCUGACGCAGCAACGCCGCGUGAGUGAGGAAGGACUUCGGUCUGUAAAGCUCUGUUAAUGUGGAAAAAUGGUAGUUGGUCUAAUAGGCCGAUUAUUUGAUGGUACACAUAGAGGAAGCACCGGCUAACUUCGUGCCAGCAGCCGCGGUAAUACGAAGGGUGCAAGCGUUGUUCGGAUUUAUUGGGCGUAAAGCGCGCGUAGGCGGACCUGUAAGUCAGAUGUGAAAUCUCGGGGCUCAACCUCGAAACUGCGUCUGAAACUGCAGGUCUAGAAUCUCGGAGGGGGAAGGGGAAUUUCGCAUGUAGGGGUAAAAUCCGUAGAUAUGCGAAGGAACACCAGAGGCGAAGGCGCCUUCCUGGACGAGUAUUGACGCUGAGGCGCGAAAGCGUGGGGAUCAAACAGGAUUAGAUACCCUGGUAGUCCACGCUGUAAACUAUGAACACUAGGUAUUGGAGGAUUUGACCCCUUCAGUGCCGUAGCUAACGCGUUAAGUGUUCCGCCUGGGAAGUACGGUCGCAAGCUAAACUUAAAGGAAUUGACGGNUGNGNGNGCGAGCGACGACGAGGAGAGG
Molecule: ribosomal RNA, 615 nt
Filed under: uncultured bacterium
Lineage: Bacteria
Description: bacterial SSU rRNA
Rfam family: Bacterial small subunit ribosomal RNA
Source: RNAcentral